UACGAAGGGGGCUAGCGUUGCUCGGAAUCACUGGGCGUAAAGCGCACGUAGGCGGAUAUUUAAGUCGGUGGUGAAAUCCUGGAGCUCAACUCCAGAACUGCCUCCGAUACUGAAUGUCUUCGAGUCCGGGAGAGGUGAGUGGAACUGCGAGUGUAGAGGUGAAAUUCGUAGAUAUUCGCAAGAACACCAGUGGCGAAGGCGGCUCACUGGCCCGGUACUGACGCUGAGGUGCGAAAGCGUGGGGAGCAAACAGG
Molecule: ribosomal RNA, 254 nt
Filed under: uncultured bacterium
Lineage: Bacteria
Description: partial 16S ribosomal RNA
Rfam family: Bacterial small subunit ribosomal RNA
Source: RNAcentral